This 497-nucleotide ribosomal RNA is filed under the name uncultured bacterium. RNAcentral describes it as "partial 16S ribosomal RNA". It matches the Rfam family "Bacterial small subunit ribosomal RNA", at positions 28 to 507 of the family's 1533-position model. The record is from RNAcentral.
GAUGAACGCUGGCGGCGUGCCUAAUACAUGCAAGUCGAGCGAACAGACGAGGGGCUUGCUCCUCUGACGUUAGCGGCGGACGGGUGAGUAACACGUGGAUAACCUACCUAUAAGACUGGGAUAACUUCGGGAAACCGGAGCUAAUACCGGAUAAUAUAUUGAACCGCAUGGUUCAAUAGUGAAAGACGGUUUUGCUGUCACUUAUAGAUGGAUCCGCGCCGCAUUAGCUAGUUGGUAAGGUAACGGCUUACCAAGGCGACGAUGCGUAGCCGACCUGAGAGGGUGAUCGGCCACACUGGAACUGAGACACGGUCCAGACUCCUACGGGAGGCAGCAGUAGGGAAUCUUCCGCAAUGGGCGAAAGCCUGACGGAGCAACGCCGCGUGAGUGAUGAAGGUCUUCGGAUCGUAAAACUCUGUUAUUAGGGAAGAACAAAUGUGUAAGUAACUAUGCACGUCUUGACGGUACCUAAUCAGAAAGCCGCGGCUAACUACGUG